GACGAACGCUGGCGGCGUGCCUAAUACAUGCAAGUUGAGCGCUGAAGGUUGGUACUUGUACCAACUGGAUGAGCAGCGAACGGGUGAGUAACGCGUGGGGAAUCUGCCUUUGAGCGGGGGACAACAUUUGGAAACGAAUGCUAAUACCGCAUAAAAACUUUAAACACAAGUUUUAAGUUUGAAAGAUGCAAUUGCAUCACUCAAAGAUGAUCCCGCGUUGUAUUAGCUAGUUGGUGAGGUAAAGGCUCACCAAGGCGAUGAUACAUAGCCGACCUGAGAGGGUGAUCGGCCACAUUGGGACUGAGACACGGCCCAAACUCCUACGGGAGGCAGCAGUAGGGAGUCUUCGGCAAUGGACGAAAGUCUGACCGAGCAACGCCGCGUGAGUGAAGAAGGGUUUCGGAUCGUAAAACUCUGUUGGUAGAGAAGAACGUUGGUGGGAGUGGAAAGCUCAUCAAGUGACGGUAACUACCCAGAAAGGGACGGCUAACUACGUG
This 497-nucleotide ribosomal RNA is filed under the name uncultured bacterium. RNAcentral describes it as "partial 16S ribosomal RNA". It matches the Rfam family "Bacterial small subunit ribosomal RNA", at positions 28 to 507 of the family's 1533-position model. The record is from RNAcentral.